This 450-nucleotide ribosomal RNA is filed under the name uncultured bacterium. Its description in RNAcentral is "partial 16S ribosomal RNA". It matches the Rfam family "Bacterial small subunit ribosomal RNA", at positions 354 to 796 of the family's 1533-position model. The record is from RNAcentral.
GUGGGGAAUUUUGGACAAUGGGCGCAAGCCUGAUCCAGCAAUGCCGCGUGCAGGAAGAAGGCCUUCGGGUUGUAAACUGCUUUUGUACGGAACGAAAAGGCUCUGGCUAAUACCUGGAGCUCAUGACGGUACCGUAAGAAUAAGCACCGGCUAACUACGUGCCAGCAGCCGCGGUAAUACGUAGGGUGCGAGCGUUAAUCGGAAUUACUGGGCGUAAAGCGUGCGCAGGCGGUGCUGUAAGACAGGCGUGAAAUCCCCGGGCUCAACCUGGGAAUUGCGCUUGUGACUGCAGCGCUGGAGUGCGGCAGAGGGGGAUGGAAUUCCGCGUGUAGCAGUGAAAUGCGUAGAUAUGCGGAGGAACACCGAUGGCGAAGGCAAUCCCCUGGGCCUGCACUGACGCUCAUGCACGAAAGCGUGGGGAGCAAACAGGAUUAGAAACCCGGGUAGUCC